Molecule: transfer RNA, 107 nt
Organism: Trichosporon asahii var. asahii CBS 8904
Lineage: Eukaryota; Fungi; Basidiomycota; Tremellomycetes; Trichosporonales; Trichosporonaceae
Rfam family: tRNA
About the family: Transfer RNA (tRNA) molecules are approximately 80 nucleotides in length. Their secondary structure includes four short double-helical elements and three loops (D, anti-codon, and T loops). Further hydrogen bonds mediate the characteristic L-shaped molecular structure. tRNAs have two regions of fundamental functional importance: the anti-codon, which is responsible for specific mRNA codon recognition, and the 3' end, to which the tRNAs corresponding amino acid is attached (by aminoacyl-tRNA synthetases). tRNAs cope with the degeneracy of the genetic code in two manners: having more than one tRNA (with a specific anti-codon) for a particular amino acid; and 'wobble' base-pairing, i.e. permitting non-standard base-pairing at the 3rd anti-codon position.
Source: Rfam
GCCCGCUUAGCACAGUGGCAGUGCGUUCCUCUCGUAUUACGUAACCGAAACUUUACGUAAGCGCGAUAUAUAAGGAAAGGUCAACGGUUCAAUCCCGUUAGUGGGCA